GACGAACGCUGGCGGCGUGCUUAACACAUGCAAGUCGAACGGAAAGGCCCUGCUUGCAGGGUACUCGAGUGGCGAACGGGUGAGUAACACGUGGGUGAUCUGCCCUGCACUUCGGGAUAAGCCUGGGAAACUGGGUCUAAUACCGGAUAGGAGCCAUUUUUAGUGUGAUGGUUGGAAAGAUUUUUCGGUGUAGGAUGAGCUCGCGGCCUAUCAGCUUGUUGGUGGGGUAAUGGCCUACCAAGGCGGCGACGGGUAGCCGGCCUGAGAGGGUGGACGGCCAUCCUGGCUCUUAGGUGCGGCCCAGGCUCCUACGGGUGGCAGCAGUGCGGAAUAUUGCUCCAUGGGCGCCAGCCUGAUGCAGCGAGGCUGCGUGGGGGAUGACGGCCUUCGGGUUGUAAACUCCUUUCGCUAGGGACGAAGCUUUUUGUGACGGUACCUAGAGAAGAAGCACCGGCUAACUACGUG
Molecule: ribosomal RNA, 465 nt
Filed under: uncultured bacterium
Lineage: Bacteria
Description: partial 16S ribosomal RNA
Rfam family: Bacterial small subunit ribosomal RNA
Source: RNAcentral